GAUGAACGCUGGCGGCGUGCCUAAUACAUGCAAGUCGAACGCAUAGCGAAAGGUGCUUGCCCCUUUCAAGUGAGUGGCGAACGGGUGAGUAACACGUGGACAACCUGCCUCAAGGCUGGGGAUAACAUUUGGAAACAGAUGCUAAUACCGAAUAAAACUUAGUGUCGCAUGACACAAAGUUAAAAGGCGCUUCGGCGUCACCUAGAGAUGGAUCCGCGGUGCAUUAGUUAGUUGGUGGGGUAAAGGCCUACCAAGACAAUGAUGCAUAGCCGAGUUGAGAGCCUGAUCGGCCACAUUGGGACUGAGACACGGCCAAAACUCCUACGGGAGGCUGCAGUAGGGAAUCUUCCACAAUGGGCGAAAGCCUGAUGGAGCAACGCCGCGUGUGUGAUGAAGGCUUUCGGGUCGUAAAGCACUGUUGUAUGGGAAGAACAGCUAGAAUAGGAAAUGAUUUUAGUUUGACGGUACCAUACCAGAAAGGGACGGCUAAAUACGUG
Molecule: ribosomal RNA, 497 nt
Filed under: uncultured bacterium
Lineage: Bacteria
Description: partial 16S ribosomal RNA
Rfam family: Bacterial small subunit ribosomal RNA
Source: RNAcentral